Molecule: ribosomal RNA, 493 nt
Filed under: uncultured bacterium
Lineage: Bacteria
Description: partial 16S ribosomal RNA
Rfam family: Bacterial small subunit ribosomal RNA
Source: RNAcentral
AUUGAACGCUGGCGGCAUGCCUUACACAUGCAAGUCGAACGGUAACAGGUUAAGCUGACGAGUGGCGAACGGGUGAGUAAUAUAUCGGAACGUGCCCAGUCGUGGGGGAUAACGUAGCGAAAGCUACGCUAAUACCGCAUACGAUCUACGGAUGAAAGCGGGGGAUCGUAAGACCUCGCGCGAUUGGAGCGGCCGAUAUCAGAUUAGGUUGUUGGUGAGGUAAAAGCUCACCAAGCCUGCGAUCUGUAGCUGGCCUGAGAGGACGACCAGCCACACUGGAACUGAGACACGGUCCAGACUCCUACGGGAGGCAGCAGUGGGGAAUUUUGGACAAUGGACGCAAGUCUGAUCCAGCAAUGCCGCGUGCAGGACGAAGGCCUUCGGGUUGUAAACUGCUUUUGUACGGAACGAAACGGUGAGCUCUAAUACAGUUUGCUAAUGACGGUACCGUAAGAAUAAGCACCGGCUAACUACGUGCCAGCAGCCGCCGUAA